UGGGGAAUUUUGCACAAUGGAGGAAACUCUGAUGCAGCGACGCCGCGUGAGUGAUGAAGAUCUUCGGAUUGUAAAACUCUGUCCUUAGUGAAGAUAAUGACAGUAACUAAGAAGCAAGCCCUGGCUAAAUACGUGCCAGCAGCCGCGGUAAUACGUAUGGGGCAAGCGUUGUCCGGAAUUAUUGGGCGUAAAGGGUACGUAGGCGGUUUAAUAAGUCCUAAUUAAAGGCUAUGGCUCAACCAUAGUAUGGUUAGGAAACUGUUGAACUUGAGUAGAUGAGGGGAAAGUGGAAUUCCAUGUGUAGCGGUGAAAUGCGUAGAUAUAUGGAGGAACACCAAUGGCGAAGGCAACUUUCUGGAAUCAAACUGACGCUGAGGUACGAAGGCGUGGGGAGCAAACAGG
RNAcentral lists this ribosomal RNA (402 nucleotides) under Fusobacteriota bacterium. Its description in RNAcentral is "Fusobacteria bacterium partial 16S ribosomal RNA". It matches the Rfam family "Bacterial small subunit ribosomal RNA", at positions 355 to 776 of the family's 1533-position model. The record is from RNAcentral. Lineage: Bacteria; Fusobacteriati; Fusobacteriota.